This 877-nucleotide long non-coding RNA is filed under the name Ananas comosus (pineapple). RNAcentral's name for it is "long non-coding RNA (ACOM_LNC003705)". The record is from RNAcentral. Lineage: Eukaryota; Viridiplantae; Streptophyta; Magnoliopsida; Poales; Bromeliaceae.
AUUGGCGACCUGUGCAUCAAGUGAUGGACUUGCAAAGAGCUUUUGGUGGUCCGUUGGUUCUUUUGGUCAGGUGGUAAGUGAGGUCUUGGACCUAGGACUAUAGAUUGUCACAGGUGAUUUUUUUUUUUUUCGUUGAUGGAGGUUUUGGCAGUUUGUGUGAUUAUCUGGUGGGAGACAGUGGUCUCCAUAGUGAGUGUUAUUGUCUCGGUUGUCGGAACAACGUUUCAUAUUCGCUCGUGGUGAGCAGGUUGACGUUGUUGGUUAGUCAGAGAAUGUCUUUUCGGCCUAUGAAAAUACACUCCGGACUUGUGGUGUUGACUCGUGUUUCGUCUAUGUGAACCUUCUAUGUAGUCGAGUCGGUUACUGGUAUGCGGACCAAGGUUGAGUGUAUCUAGAGUUUCUGAGUGGAGAAUUUUUAUCUCAAAGUUGGUAAUUUGGGAUCUGAUAAUCCUAGUCGUGGGACUGUUUUUGUCCGCAGGUUAUAGGAUGGUGUUGAUCCCGGUGAGUUUUGAUCCGUAGAUUUUGGGUUGGUACCUUUUCCCUCGAUUUGUCCAGGUGGAACCGCAGUCCUAUUAUUCCCCUUCUUCGAAGGUUGAUAUAUCCAAAUGUAAUUGACCAUUACUCAGGGGUGAUACUGUAGUGGUGGAGUAAUAUCUGAAUUCGAUUACGGGGGAUAAUAUAAGGACUGAGAUUUUAGCAGUGCAGCUAAACUCUCUUUUGACGAUGUUUCUGUGUGUAAUUUAAUUACAUAAGCACUCGUCAAGUUUCAGGAGAAAAUGAGUUAGAACAGAGAAGUUACGCGAUCAUUAGUAUUCACUUAAGUGAAUAGUAAGUCCGGUUUUCCGGAGAAGCCACGGAGUACAGUUGGCUUUCGACG